UACACUCCUGCGGGAGGCAGCAGUGGGGAAUUUUGGACAAUGGGCGAAAGCCUGAUCCAGCAAUGCCGCGUGAGUGAAGAAGGCCUUCGGGUUGUAAAGCUCUUUUGUCAGGGAAGAAACGGUGAAAGCUAAUAUCUUUUGCUAAUGACGGUACCUGAAGAAUAAGCACCGGCUAACUACGUGCCAGCAGCCGCGGUAAUACGUAGGGUGCAAGCGUUAAUCGGAAUUACUGGGCGUAAAGCGUGCGCAGGCGGUUUUGUAAGUCUGAUGUGAAAUCCCCGGGCUCAACCUGGGAAUUGCAUUGGAGACUGCAAGGCUAGAAUCUGGCAGAGGGGGGUAGAAUUCCACGUGUAGCAGUGAAAUGCGUAGAUAUGUGGAGGAACACCGAUGGCGAAGGCAGCCCCCUGGGUCAAGAUUGACGCUCAUGCACGAAAGCGUGGGGAGCAAACAGGAUUAGAAACCCGAGUAGUCCCAUGAU
This 478-nucleotide ribosomal RNA is filed under the name uncultured organism. RNAcentral's name for it is "partial 16S ribosomal RNA". It matches the Rfam family "Bacterial small subunit ribosomal RNA", at positions 332 to 801 of the family's 1533-position model. The record is from RNAcentral.